Molecule: unclassified non-coding RNA, 351 nt
Filed under: uncultured fungus
Lineage: Eukaryota; Fungi
Description: partial contains small subunit ribosomal RNA, internal transcribed spacer 1, and 5.8S ribosomal RNA
Rfam family: Eukaryotic small subunit ribosomal RNA (bases 1-128)
Source: RNAcentral
GCAAACUUGGUCAUUUAGAGGAAGUAAAAGUCGUAACAAGGUUUCCGUAGGGUAGGAUCUCCCAUCUUCAUAUUCCAUCUCUUCAAUUUUGCUAACCAAGUCACAGUGAACCUGCGGAAGGAUCAUUACUGAGAGUUGGGGCUUCGGCCCCCUACCCUCCACCCUUUUGUGUACCUGUUUGUUGCUUUGGCGGGCCGUCGUUCUCGCCGUCGGCCUUUGGGCUGGCGAGUGCCCGCCAGAGGUUUUACCAAACUCUGUCACGUCAAGUCUGAACCCUCUCGGGUUUAUAUGAAAUAAGUCAAAACUUUCAACAACGGAUCUCUUGGUUCCGGCAUCGAUGAAGAACGCAGC